Molecule: ribosomal RNA, 2876 nt
Filed under: Ralstonia solanacearum
Lineage: Bacteria; Pseudomonadati; Pseudomonadota; Betaproteobacteria; Burkholderiales; Burkholderiaceae
Description: 23S ribosomal RNA
Rfam family: Bacterial large subunit ribosomal RNA
Source: RNAcentral
UCAAGCGAAUAAGUGCAUGUGGUGGAUGCCUUGGCGAUCACAGGCGAUGAAGGACGUAGUAGCUUGCGAAAAGCUGCGGGGAGCUGGCAAACGAGCUUUGAUCCGCAGAUGUCCGAAUGGGGAAACCCGGCCCGUAUGGGUCAUCCCUUGCUGAAUACAUAGGCAAGGGAGGCGAACGCAGUGAACUGAAACAUCUAAGUAGCUGCAGGAAAAGAAAUCAACCGAGAUUCCCAAAGUAGUGGCGAGCGAAAUGGGAACAGCCUUGUACUCUUUAGCAGUAUUGUUAGCGGAACGGAAUGGAAAGUCCGGCCAUAGUGGGUGAUAGCCCCGUACGCGAAAACAGUAUUGUGGAACUAGGUGUACGACAAGUAGGGCGGGACACGUGAAAUCCUGUCUGAAGAUGGGGGGACCAUCCUCCAAGGCUAAAUACUCGUGAUCGACCGAUAGUGAACCAGUACCGUGAGGGAAAGGCGAAAAGAACCCCGGGAGGGGAGUGAAAUAGAUCCUGAAACCGCAUGCAUACAAACAGUCGGAGCCUGGAAACGGGUGACGGCGUACCUUUUGUAUAAUGGGUCAGCGACUUACAUUCAGUGGCAAGCUUAACCGAUUAGGGAAGGCGUAGCGAAAGCGAGUCCGAAUAGGGCGUUCAGUCGCUGGGUGUAGACCCGAAACCAAGUGAUCUAUCCAUGGCCAGGUUGAAGGUGCGGUAACACGUACUGGAGGACCGAACCCACUAACGUUGAAAAGUUAGGGGAUGAGCUGUGGAUAGGGGUGAAAGGCUAAACAAACUUGGAAAUAGCUGGUUCUCUCCGAAAACUAUUUAGGUAGUGCCUCGUGUCUCACCUUCGGGGGUAGAGCACUGUCAUGGUUGGGGGGUCUAUUGCUGAUUACCCCGCCAUAGCAAACUCCGAAUACCGAAGAGUGCAAUCACGGGAGACAGACAUCGGGUGCUAACGUCCGGUGUCAAGAGGGAAACAACCCAGACCGCCAGCUAAGGUCCCUAAGAUUGGCUAAGUGGGAAACGAAGUGGGAAGGCUAAAACAGUCAGGAGGUUGGCUUAGAAGCAGCCACCCUUUAAAGAAAGCGUAAUAGCUCACUGAUCGAGUCGUCCUGCGCGGAAGAUGUAACGGGGCUAAGCCAGUCACCGAAGCUGCGGAUGCACGUAAGUGCAUGGUAGGAGAGCGUUCUGUAAGCCUGUGAAGGUGUCUUGUAAAGGAUGCUGGAGGUAUCAGAAGUGCGAAUGCUGACAUGAGUAGCGAUAAAGGGGGUGAAAGGCCCCCUCGCCGUAAGCCCAAGGUUUCCUACGCAACGUUCAUCGGCGUAGGGUGAGUCGGCCCCUAAGGUGAGGCAGAGAUGCGUAGCUGAUGGGAAGCAGGUUAAUAUUCCUGCACCGUCGUAUGAUGCGAUGGGGGGACGGAUCGCGGAAGGUUGUCCGGGUGUUGGAAGUCCCGGUCCCUACAUUGGAGAUGGCACUUAGGCAAAUCCGGGUGCGUGAUUCAAGGGUGUGGGGCGAGCGACGUUAGGUCGCGAAGCAAUUGGAAGUGGUUCCAAGAAAAGCCUCUAAGCUUCAGUCAUACGAGACCGUACCGCAAACCGACACAGGUGGGCGAGAUGAGUAUUCUAAGGCGCUUGAGAGAACUCGGGAGAAGGAACUCGGCAAAUUGGUACCGUAACUUCGGGAUAAGGUACGCCCUUGUAGUUUGACUGGCUCGCGCCAGAAGGAUGAAGGGGUUGCAAUAAAAUGGUGGCUGCGACUGUUUAAUAAAAACACAGCACUCUGCAAACACGAAAGUGGACGUAUAGGGUGUGACGCCUGCCCGGUGCCGGAAGAUUAAAUGAUGGGGUGCAAGCUCUUGAUUGAAGUCCCGGUAAACGGCGGCCGUAACUAUAACGGUCCUAAGGUAGCGAAAUUCCUUGUCGGGUAAGUUCCGACCUGCACGAAUGGCGUAACGAUGGCCACACUGUCUCCUCCCGAGACUCAGCGAAGUUGAAGUGUUUGUGAUGAUGCAAUCUCCCCGCGGCUAGACGGAAAGACCCCAUGAACCUUUACUGUAGCUUUGCAUUGGACUUUGAACCGAUCUGUGUAGGAUAGGUGGGAGGCUUUGAAACCGGGACGCUAGUUUCGGUGGAGCCGACCUUGAAAUACCACCCUGGUUUGUUUGAGGUUCUAACCUUGGCCCGUGAAUCCGGGUCGGGGACAGUGCAUGGUAGGCAGUUUGACUGGGGCGGUCUCCUCCCAAAGUGUAACGGAGGAGUUCGAAGGUACGCUUGGUACGGUCGGACAUCGUACCUAAAGUGCAAUGGCAAAAGCGUGCUUAACUGCGAGACCGACAAGUCGAGCAGGUGCGAAAGCAGGACAUAGUGAUCCGGUGGUUCUGUAUGGAAGGGCCAUCGCUCAACGGAUAAAAGGUACUCUGGGGAUAACAGGCUGAUACCGCCCAAGAGUUCAUAUCGACGGCGGUGUUUGGCACCUCGAUGUCGGCUCAUCUCAUCCUGGGGCUGUAGCCGGUCCCAAGGGUAUGGCUGUUCGCCAUUUAAAGAGGUACGUGAGCUGGGUUUAAAACGUCGUGAGACAGUUUGGUCCCUAUCUGCCGUGGGCGUUGGAAUCUUGACGGGGGCUGCUCCUAGUACGAGAGGACCGGAGUGGACGUACCGCUGGUGUACCUGUUGUCUCGCCAGAGGCAUCGCAGGGUAGCUAUGUACGGAAGAGAUAACCGCUGAAAGCAUCUAAGCGGGAAACUCGCCUGAAGAUGAGGAUUCCCUGGAGACUUGAUCUCCCUGAAGGGUCGUUCGAGACCAGGACGUUGAUAGGCUGGGUGUGGAAGCGCAGUAAUGUGUUCAGCUAACCAGUACUAAUUGCCCGUGCGGCUUGAUCC